GAUGAACGCUGGCGGCGUGCCUAAUACAUGCAAGUCGAGCGAACAGACGAGGAGCUUGCUCCUCUGACGUUAGCGGCGGACGGGUGAGUAACACGUGGAUAACCUACCUAUAAGACUGGUAUAACUUCGGGAAACCGGAGCUAAUACCGGAUAAUAUAUUGAACCGCAUGGUUCAAUAGUGAAAGACGGUUUUGCUGUCACUUAUAGAUGGAUCCGCGCCGCAUUAGCUAGUUGGUAAGGUAACGGCUUACCAAGGCAACGAUGCGUAGCCGAACUGAGAGGGUGAUCGGCCACACUGGAACGGAGCCACGGUCCAGACUACUACGGGAGGCAGCAGUAGGGAAUCUUACGCAAUGGGCGAAAGCUUGACGGAGCAACGCCGCGUGAGUGAUGAAGGUCUUCGGAUCGUAAAACUCUGUUAUUAGGGAAGAACAAAUGUGUAAGUAACUAUGCACGUCUUGACGGUAACUAAUCAGAAAGCCACGGCUAACUACGUG
Molecule: ribosomal RNA, 497 nt
Filed under: uncultured bacterium
Lineage: Bacteria
Description: partial 16S ribosomal RNA
Rfam family: Bacterial small subunit ribosomal RNA
Source: RNAcentral